This 616-nucleotide ribosomal RNA is filed under the name bacterium PE03-7A12. Its description in RNAcentral is "bacterial SSU rRNA". It matches the Rfam family "Bacterial small subunit ribosomal RNA", at positions 255 to 881 of the family's 1533-position model. The record is from RNAcentral.
GGGUGAUGGCCUACCAAGGCGACGACGGGUAGCCGGCCUGAGAGGGUGUCCGGCCACACUGGGACUGAGAUACGGCCCAGACUCCUACGGGAGGCAGCAGUGGGGAAUAUUGCACAAUGGGCGCAAGCCUGAUGCAGCGACGCCGCGUGAGGGAUGACGGCCUUCGGGUUGUAAACCUCUUUCAGUACCGACGAAGCGUGAGUGACGGUAGGUACAGAAGAAGCACCGGCCAACUACGUGCCAGCAGCCGCGGUAAUACGUAGGGUGCGAGCGUUGUCCGGAAUUACUGGGCGUAAAGAGCUCGUAGGUGGUUUGUCGCGUUGUUCGUGAAAACUCACAGCUUAACUGUGGGCGUGCGGGCGAUACGGGCAGACUGGAGUACUGCAGGGGAGACUGGAAUUCCUGGUGUAGCGGUGGAAUGCGCAGAUAUCAGGAGGAACACCGGUGGCGAAGGCGGGUCUCUGGGCAGUAACUGACGCUGAGGAGCGAAAGCGUGGGGAGCGAACAGGAUUAGAUACCCUGGUAGUCCACGCCGUAAACGGUGGGUACUAGGUGUGGGUUUCCUUCCUUGGGAUCCGUGCCGUAGCUAACGCAUUAAGUACCCCGCCUGGGGAGU